UUUCCGUAGUGAACCUGCGGAAGGAUCAUUAUU
Molecule: ribosomal RNA, 33 nt
Filed under: Armillaria nabsnona
Lineage: Eukaryota; Fungi; Basidiomycota; Agaricomycetes; Agaricales; Physalacriaceae
Description: partial 18S ribosomal RNA
Source: RNAcentral